This 71-nucleotide transfer RNA is filed under the name Liolaemus millcayac. RNAcentral's name for it is "tRNA-Tyr". It matches the Rfam family "tRNA". From Rfam's summary of the family: Transfer RNA (tRNA) molecules are approximately 80 nucleotides in length. Their secondary structure includes four short double-helical elements and three loops (D, anti-codon, and T loops). Lineage: Eukaryota; Metazoa; Chordata; Lepidosauria; Squamata. The record is from RNAcentral.
GGUAAAGUGGCCGAGUGCUUAGGCGGUGGGCUGUAGUCCCACUCAUGGGGGUUUAAUUCCUCUUUUUAUCA